ACCCUAAAAGCUAGCUCAGACACCAGAAACCAACAAAAACAUCUUCAUAACCCCCCACAACCCAACCAUUAAUAACCAAACCAUUUUUCCCCCUAAGUAUGGGAGACAGAAAAGGGCCUCAGACGCUAUAGAUAAAGUACCGCAAGGGAAAGCUGAAAGAGAACUGAAAGAAUGCAGUAAAGGACAUAAAAGCAGAGACUGGCCCUUGUACCUUUUGCAUCAUGAUUUAGCAAGCAACAAUCAAGCAAAGAGCACUUUAUGUUUGAAACCCCGAAACCAGACGAGCUACUCCGAGACAGCCUACUGUAGGGCGAACCCGUCCCUGUGGCAAAAGGGUGGGAAGAGCUCCGAGUAGAGGUGAUAAACCUACCGAGCCUGGUUAUAGCUGGUUGCUCGAGAAAUGAAUAGAAGUUCAGCCCUUUCACAACUCGCACCAAGCAAGGGCAAGCCCGCCCCUCGGACACGAGACUAACUAAAGGAGUUAUUUAAAAGAGGAACAGCUCUUUUGAAAAAAGACACAACUUUACAAGCAGGCCAAAGAUCAUAAUCACUAAGGAAAGUCACCCGGGUGGGCCUAAAAGCAGCCAUCCCCGAGGAAAGCGUUAAAGCUCAAGUGAUCUCCUCCCUCUAAUUCAGAUAAACAAUCUUUUCCCGCUUAAAUCUAUCGAGUCAACCCAUGCACGCAUGGGUAAGAAAAUGCUAAAAUGAGUAAUAAGAGAGCAAGACUCUCUCAAGAGCCCCCGUGUAAAUCAGAACGAACCCCCACUGAAAAUUAACGCCCCCAACCCCAGAGGGAAAUGACAAGUAAAAGUAAAGACAAGAAGUCCCCCCAGCUAGCCAAGCGUUGACCCCACACAGGCGUGCUCCUAAUGAAAGACAAAAAGAGAGAGAAGGAACUCGGCAAACACUGGCCUCGCCUGUUUACCAAAAACAUCGCCUCUUGCCUAUGUAACAUAAGAGGUCCCGCCUGCCCUGUGACGAAAGUUUAACGGCCGCGGUAUUUUGACCGUGCGAAGGUAGCGUAAUCACUUGUCUUUUAAAUAAAGACCUGUAUGAAUGGCACGACGAGGGCUAAGCUGUCUCCUUUCUCCAGUCAAUGAAAUUGAUCUGCCCGUGCAGAAGCGGGCAUGCUUCCAUAAGACGAGAAGACCCUAUGGAGCUUAAGACACCAAAGCGGAACACGUUAAACCCCCUAUGUAAAAAGGAAAAAACCAAGUGCUCCCCGCUUACCUGUCUUUGGUUGGGGCGACCGCGGAGGAAAGCACAGCCUCCACAUGGAAUGGGCCUAUUGCCCUAAAAUCAGAGCCACACCUCUACUUACCAGAACAUCUGACCCCUCAAGAUCCGGCAAGACCGAUCAACGGACCCAGUUACCCUAGGGAUAACAGCGCAAUCCCCUUCUAGAGCCCAUAUCGACAAGGGGGUUUACGACCUCGAUGUUGGAUCAGGACAUCCUAAUGGUGCAGCCGCUAUUAAGGGUUCGUUUGUUCAACGAUUAAAGUCCUACGUGAUCUGAGUUCAGACCGGAGAAAUCCAGGUCAGUUUCUAUCUAUGAUGCCCUCUUUUCUAGUACGAAAGGGCCGAAAAGAGGGGGCCCCUGCUAUAAGCAAGCCCCGCCCCGACCUAGUGAGCCCCACUAAAAAAGGUAAAGGGGAUCCCCCUUACGCCUGAGAAAAAGGCAA
This 1682-nucleotide ribosomal RNA is filed under the name Myersina macrostoma (bigmouth shrimpgoby). RNAcentral describes it as "16S rRNA". The stretch from base 99 to 1573 matches the Rfam family "Bacterial large subunit ribosomal RNA". Lineage: Eukaryota; Metazoa; Chordata; Actinopteri; Gobiiformes; Gobiidae. The record is from RNAcentral.